RNAcentral lists this ribosomal RNA (120 nucleotides) under uncultured bacterium. Its description in RNAcentral is "partial 16S ribosomal RNA". It matches the Rfam family "Bacterial small subunit ribosomal RNA", at positions 28 to 146 of the family's 1533-position model. The record is from RNAcentral.
GAUGAACGCUAGCGGCAGGCCUAACACAUGCAAGUCGAGGGGUAUAGAUUAGCUUGCUAAUCUAGAGACCGGCGCACGGGUGAGUAACGCGUAUGCAACCUACCUUUCACAAAGGGAUAG